RNAcentral lists this ribosomal RNA (790 nucleotides) under Staphylococcus gallinarum. RNAcentral describes it as "bacterial SSU rRNA". It matches the Rfam family "Bacterial small subunit ribosomal RNA", at positions 49 to 823 of the family's 1533-position model. Lineage: Bacteria; Bacillati; Bacillota; Bacilli; Caryophanales; Staphylococcaceae. The record is from RNAcentral.
CUAUAAUGCAGUCGAGCGAACAGAUAAGGAGCUUGCUCCUUUGACGUUAGCGGCGGACGGGUGAGUAACACGUGGGUAACCUACCUAUAAGACUGGAAUAACUCCGGGAAACCGGGGCUAAUGCCGGAUAACAUAUAGAACCGCAUGGUUCUAUAGUGAAAGAUGGUUUUGCUAUCACUUAUAGAUGGACCCGCGCCGUAUUAGCUAGUUGGUAAGGUAAUGGCUUACCAAGGCGACGAUACGUAGCCGACCUGAGAGGGUGAUCGGCCACACUGGAACUGAGACACGGUCCAGACUCCUACGGGAGGCAGCAGUAGGGAAUCUUCCGCAAUGGGCGAAAGCCUGACGGAGCAACGCCGCGUGAGUGAUGAAGGGUUUCGGCUCGUAAAACUCUGUUAUUAGGGAAGAACAUAUGUGUAAGUAACUGUGCACAUCUUGACGGUACCUAAUCAGAAAGCCACGGCUAACUACGUGCCAGCAGCCGCGGUAAUACGUAGGUGGCAAGCGUUAUCCGGAAUUAUUGGGCGUAAAGCGCGCGUAGGCGGUUUCUUAAGUCUGAUGUGAAAGCCCACGGCUCAACCGUGGAGGGUCAUUGGAAACUGGGAAACUUGAGUGCAGAAGAGGAAAGUGGAAUUCCAUGUGUAGCGGUGAAAUGCGCAGAGAUAUGGAGGAACACCAGUGGCGAAGGCGACUUUCUGGUCUGUAACUGACGCUGAUGUGCGAAAGCGUGGGGAUCAAACAGGAUUAGAUACCCUGGUAGUCCACGCCGUAAACGAUGAGUGCUAAGUGU